This 653-nucleotide ribosomal RNA is filed under the name Flagellimonas taeanensis. Its description in RNAcentral is "bacterial SSU rRNA". It matches the Rfam family "Bacterial small subunit ribosomal RNA", at positions 70 to 722 of the family's 1533-position model. The record is from RNAcentral. Lineage: Bacteria; Pseudomonadati; Bacteroidota; Flavobacteriia; Flavobacteriales; Flavobacteriaceae.
UAGAGGUUGCUUGCAACCUUGAGACCGGCGCACGGGUGCGGAACGCGUAUGGAACCUGCCCCUGUCAGGGGAAUAGCCCAGGGAAACUUGGAUUAAUGCCCCAUGGUAUCGUUGUAUCGCAUGAUAUGAUGAUUAAAGAUUUAUCGGACAGGGAUGGCCAUGCGUACCAUUAGUUAGUUGGCGGGGUAACGGCCCACCAAGGCAGCGAUGGUUAGGGGCCCUGAGAGGGGGAUCCCCCACACUGGUACUGAGACACGGACCAGACUCCUACGGGAGGCAGCAGUGAGGAAUAUUGGACAAUGGUCGCAAGACUGAUCCAGCCAUGCCGCGUGCAGGAUGACUGCCCUAUGGGUUGUAAACUGCUUUUAUACGGGAAGAAACGCACCUACGUGUAGGUGUCUGACGGUACCGUAAGAAUAAGGACCGGCUAACUCCGUGCCAGCAGCCGCGGUAAUACGGAGGGUCCGAGCGUUAUCCGGAAUCAUUGGGUUUAAAGGGUCCGUAGGCGGGCCUGUAAGUCAGGGGUGAAAGUUUGUGGCUCAACCAUAAAAUUGCCUUUGAUACUGCAGGUCUUGAGUCAUGGUGGGGUUGCCGGAACAUGUGGUGUAGCGGUGAAAUGCAUAGAUAUCACAUAGAACACCGAUCGCGAAGGC